Molecule: ribosomal RNA, 483 nt
Filed under: uncultured bacterium
Lineage: Bacteria
Description: partial 16S ribosomal RNA
Rfam family: Bacterial small subunit ribosomal RNA
Source: RNAcentral
GACGAACGCUGGCGGCGUGCUUAACACAUGCAAGUCGAACGAUGAAGCCGCUUCGGUGGUGGAUUAGUGGCGAACGGGUGAGUAACACGUGGGCAAUCUGCCCUGCACUCUGGGACAAGCCCUGGAAACGGGGUCUAAUACCGGAUACGACCAUCGGCCGCAUGGCCUGGUGGUGGAAAGCUCUGGUGGUGCAGGAUGAGCCCGCGGCCUAUCAGCUUGUUGGUGGGGUGAUGGCCUACCUAGGCGACGACGGGUAGCCGGCCUGAGAGGGCGACCGGCCACACUGGGACUGAGACACGGCCCAGACUCCUACGGGAGGCAGCAGUGGGGAAUAUUGCACAAUGGGCGCAAGCCUGAUGCAGCGACGCCGCGUGAGGGAUGACGGCCUUCGGGUUGUAAACCUCUUUCAGCAGGGAAGAAGCUUUCGGGUGACGGUACCUGCAGAAGAAGCACCGGCUAACUACGUGCCAGCCGCCGCCGUAA